Molecule: ribosomal RNA, 253 nt
Filed under: uncultured bacterium
Lineage: Bacteria
Description: partial 16S ribosomal RNA
Rfam family: Bacterial small subunit ribosomal RNA
Source: RNAcentral
UACGUAGGGGGCGAGCGUUGUCCGGAAUCAUUGGGCGUAAAGAGCGUGUAGGCUGCUUGGCAAGUCUGACGUGAAAGCCCGCGGCUCAACCGCGGAUUGUCGUUGGAAACUGCCUCGCUAGAGUCCGGAAGGGGAGAGCGGAAUUCCUGGUGUAGCGGUGGAAUGCGCAGAUAUCAGGAAGAACACCCGUGGCGAAGGCGGCUCUCUGGGACGGUACUGACGCUGAGACGCGAAAGCGUGGGGAGCGAACAGG